AUGGACCUGUCGUCAGACAGAACACUGAAUAAUAAUAAUAAUAAUAAUAUUGUUUUCUGACAACUAUGGAUAUGUUGUAAUAGUAUGACUAACUUGAAAUAGGACUGAUGUAUUUGCUGACAGCUAGUUGUUAUGAACCAGUUAUGACCACCGCAUCAAGUCAUAAAUGCAAACACAUGUACGUCAGUUUGUUUUUGUUCUUGAACUAAUUGGAUUUUAGGUUUUCCAUUUCCAUCAAAUCCCAUCUAAGUAUCGGUCUUUUCAUUUCUUUUUGGAAAAGCCAGUGGGCAUCGUGGCUGACAGUGGAUUGGAAAAUUGUGGUUUGAUCCCUGGAAUGGGCAAAGAAUUUCUCUUCUAACCUCUACAUCCACCCAGUCUCUUACUCCGCGGUUACUGGAGAUCCUUUUCCAAGGUCAUGAUGUUGACCACUAACCCCAUCUGGUGCCAAGGUCAAGGAUGAUUAGCAGCUGCACUGCCUCUCCCUACAAGAGCCCCCAUUUCAUGUAACAGAACAGCUUUACUUCAGCAACUGGUAAACAUUCCUUCUACACGUCUUUCUCUUAAUUAUUUGAUUUCUCUGAGUAUAAUUGUUUGAUGGUUUUUCCUUUGUUACUAUUUUUAGCCACAGAUUACCAUUGCUUCUGGUUUUGUUUUUGAUAGUUUUAAGUUAUAUUGAUUUACAAAUUGUAUGUGUAUUUAAGCGAUAUGCUGAAAUCUGUAAUUCAUUAGGUUUUGAAAUCAAUAUCUUAUCUGCGUAAUAGUUCAAGUGAAAAUAGCUGUAACAAUCCACAUCCUUGUGAUAUUUAUUUCAUUGUUAUGGCAGGUUCAGAGAUUUAUCCAACCUUUCAACGAAUAUUUAUUUCGUACUACAGCAAGUGUGCGAGUUGGUGACCUUGGAUUAUACGUGCCAGAAAAAGCCGUCUUGAUUUGUUUUCUUAUUCUUCAUCCCGUGCCUUGUUCCACACAAUUUCUGAGCGUGACUGUACUUCGUUAGAAUGUUUUCGCGAAUUGUUCAAACAAGCAACCGUUUAAUGCGCUGUAUUUCUACACGAAACAAUUGAAAGAAGACUGGCACAAGAGACGUUGUGUGGGACUGCGUAACAAAUUUAGAAGGCUUUUAACAUUCACCCUGAAAACACACACACAAAAAUGCGUGAAUAACUCUGAAAUGUAUUUCCUUUCAGAUCGCUGUAGCCAAAUCUGCCACAGCGUUGCAACAGUACGAGCUGUAGAAUAAUUAGAAGUGGUUGGUUGUCGACGACACGAAAUCUGGAUCAAAAGUCAGGAUCCGUGAGUUGGUACUUACCUAAGAAAGUCUAAGGUCGGCUACUUCACCACUAUUCAGGAUGUCUGCAACAUUUCGUGUUUUCUUUACGGUGGCAGUGGUGAUGCACGUAUGCGUUUAACCAACAUCGUGACGCGAAGGGGAAACACGGCAUAUCUUGGAUGCGACUGCCUUUUUCACCAAAAAUGUAAAUAUGUAAGCCUCAAAUGGAUGGUCUGUGCAUCAAACGUUUGGGGGCAGAAUAAUGAAAAUAAAACCCUCAUUUUCUGAUUGA
Non-coding RNA from Zootermopsis nevadensis, 1559 nucleotides. The record is from RefSeq and is a predicted model, not a curated record. Lineage: Eukaryota; Metazoa; Arthropoda; Insecta; Blattodea; Termopsidae.